GAUGAAUGCUGGCGGUAUGGAUAAGGCAUGCAAGUCGAGGGCACCGCAAGGUGACCGGCAGACGAGGUAGUAACACGUAGGAACGUACCCCGAAGUCAGGGAUAGCCAGCCGAAAGGUUGGGUAAUACUUGAUGGUCUCGCGAGAGUAAAGAUUUAUCGCUUCGGGAGCGGCCUGCGCAAUAUCAGCUAGUUGGUAGGGUAACGGCCUACCAAGGCUACGACGUUUAGGGGAGCUGAGAGGCUGACCCCCACCGAUGGGACUGAGAUACGGCCCAUACGCCUACGGGCGGCCGCAGUCGAGAAUCUUCCGCAAUGGACGCAAGUCUGACGGAGCGAUACCGCGUGAAGGACGAAGUGCUUCGGCACGUAAACUUCUUUUGUCAGGGACGAAAUUAUUGACGGUACCUGAAGAAUAAGGGGCUCCUAACUCUGUGCCAGCAGGAGCGGUAAUACAGAGGCCCCAAGCAUUAUCCGGAAUCACUGGGCGUAAAGGGUGUCGAGGCGGCC
Molecule: ribosomal RNA, 507 nt
Filed under: uncultured bacterium
Lineage: Bacteria
Description: bacterial SSU rRNA
Rfam family: Bacterial small subunit ribosomal RNA
Source: RNAcentral